Molecule: ribosomal RNA, 422 nt
Filed under: uncultured bacterium
Lineage: Bacteria
Description: bacterial SSU rRNA
Rfam family: Bacterial small subunit ribosomal RNA
Source: RNAcentral
UAGGGAAUAUUGGACAAUGGGCGAAAGCCUGAUCCAGCCAUGCCGCGUGAUAGAUGAAGGCCCUCUGGGUUGUAAAUAUCUUUUAUCUGGGAAGAAACUCUCCUAUUCUUAGGAGCCUGACGGUACCAGAGGAAUAAGCACCGGCUAACUCCGUGCCAGCAGCCGCGGUAAUACGGAGGGUGCAAGCGUUAUCCGGAUUCACUGGGUUUAAAGGGUGCGUAGGCGGGCUGAUAAGUCAGUGGUGAAAGCUCCGAGCUUAACUUGGAAACUGCCAUUGAUACUGCUAGGCUUGAAUGUCGUAGAGGUAAGCGUAAUGUUGCAUGUAGCGGUGAAAUGCUUAGAUAUGUUACAGAACACCAAUCGCGAAGGCAGCUUACUAUGCGAUGAUUGACGCUGAGGCACGAAAGUGCGGGGAGCAAACA